CUAACGUCCGUCGUGAAGAGGGAAACAACCCAGACCGCCAGCUAAGGUCCCAAAGUCAUGGUUAAGUGGGAAACGAUGUGGGAAGGCCCAGACAGCCAGGAUGUUGGCUUAGAAGCAGCCAUCAUUUAAAGAAAGCGUAAUAGCUCACUGGUCGAGUCGGCCUGCGCGGAAGAUGUAACGGGGCUAAACCAUGCACCGAAGCUGCGGCAGCGACACUAUGUGUUGUUGGGUAGGGGAGCGU
This 241-nucleotide ribosomal RNA is filed under the name Escherichia coli. RNAcentral describes it as "partial 23S ribosomal RNA". It matches the Rfam family "Bacterial large subunit ribosomal RNA", at positions 998 to 1239 of the family's 2925-position model. Lineage: Bacteria; Pseudomonadati; Pseudomonadota; Gammaproteobacteria; Enterobacterales; Enterobacteriaceae. The record is from RNAcentral.